RNAcentral lists this ribosomal RNA (600 nucleotides) under uncultured Bacteroidota bacterium. RNAcentral's name for it is "bacterial SSU rRNA". It matches the Rfam family "Bacterial small subunit ribosomal RNA", at positions 54 to 648 of the family's 1533-position model. Lineage: Bacteria; Pseudomonadati; Bacteroidota. The record is from RNAcentral.
CAUGCAAGUCGAACGGUAACUUUUGGUGCUUGCACCGAAAGACGAGUGGCGAACGGGUGCGUAACGCGUAUGCAAUCUGCCUUUUACUAGGGUAUAGCCCAGAGAAAUUUGGAUUAAUCCCCUAUAAUAUCAUUUAAUCGCAUGAUUUUAUGAUUAAAGCUUCGGCGGUAAAAGAUGAGCAUGCGUCCUAUUAGUUAGUAGGUGAGGUAACGGCUCACCUAGACUCCGAUAGGUAGGGGUCCUGAGAGGGAGAUCCCCCACACUGGUACUGAGACACGGACCAGACUCCUACGGGAGGCAGCAGUGAGGAAUAUUGGACAAUGGACGAAAGUCUGAUCCAGCUAUGCCGCGUGCAGGAUGACGGCCCUAUGGGUUGUAAACUGCUUUUAUACAGGAAGAAAAACUCCGACGUGUCGGAACUUGACGGUACUGUAAGAAUAAGGAUCGGCUAACUCCGUGCCAGCAGCCGCGGUAAUACGGAGGAUCCAAGCGUUAUCCGGAAUCAUUGGGUUUAAAGGGUCCGUAGGCGGUUUUUUUAGUCAGAGGUGAAAUCCUGCAGCUCAACUGUAGAAUUGCCUUUGAUACUGAAAGACUUGAGUU